UCCCUGGUGGCUAAGACGGUAAAGCAUCUGCCUGCAAUGCGGGAGACCCGGGUUCGAUUCCUGGGUUGGGAA
Molecule: transfer RNA, 72 nt
Filed under: Bos taurus (domestic cattle)
Lineage: Eukaryota; Metazoa; Chordata; Mammalia; Artiodactyla; Bovidae
Also listed under: 4 other names
Rfam family: tRNA
About the family: Transfer RNA (tRNA) molecules are approximately 80 nucleotides in length. Their secondary structure includes four short double-helical elements and three loops (D, anti-codon, and T loops).
Source: Rfam by way of RNAcentral